GGUUAAGUGACUAAGCGUACACGGUGGAUGCCUGGGCAGUCAGAGGCGAUGAAGGACGUACUAACUUGCGAUAAGCGCAGAUAAGGCAGUAAGAGCCGUUUGAGUCUGCGAUUUCCGAAUGGGGAAACCCAACUGCAUAAGCAGUUACUGUUAACUGAAUACAUAGGUUAACAGAGCAAACCGGGGGAACUGAAACAUCUAAGUACCCCGAGGAGAAGAAAUCAACCGAGAUUCCGGUAGUAGCGGCGAGCGAACCUGGAUUAGCCCUUAAGCACUCGGUGAAGUAGGUGAACAAGCUGGAAAGCUUGGCGAUACAGGGUGAUAGCCCCGUAACCGACGCUUCAUCGAGCGUGAAAUCGAGUAGGGCGGGACACGUGAU
This 379-nucleotide ribosomal RNA is filed under the name Vibrio cholerae. RNAcentral describes it as "partial 23S ribosomal RNA". It matches the Rfam family "Bacterial large subunit ribosomal RNA", at positions 1 to 430 of the family's 2925-position model. Lineage: Bacteria; Pseudomonadati; Pseudomonadota; Gammaproteobacteria; Vibrionales; Vibrionaceae. The record is from RNAcentral.